Molecule: ribosomal RNA, 720 nt
Filed under: Triticum aestivum (bread wheat)
Lineage: Eukaryota; Viridiplantae; Streptophyta; Magnoliopsida; Poales; Poaceae
Description: partial small subunit ribosomal RNA
Source: RNAcentral
AUGGGCGGCCUCCCUCGAGGAGGACUGCCGGACGCAAAGAAUCUACUCGUCUGGAACUGCCGGGGUGGGGGGAACCGUCGGACAGUUCGAGAGGUGUUGGCUCUCUCAAAAACCAACGUACCCCAGCUUGUCUUUCUUUUUGAGACUAGGCAGGCUGCAAAUAAGAUGGAGAAGUUAAAGUGGAGGUUUGGUCUAAGAGGUUUCAGUGGUGUUAACUGUAGUGGUAUGAGCGGGGGCCUAGCCCUAUAUUGGGAUGAAAAACUUCAGGUUACAGUGCUGGACUCUUGUCCUAGAUAUAUAGAUGUUAUGAUAGUGGAUAAUAGCAUGGACAAGACAUGGAGAGCAACUUUUGUUUAUGGGGAGCCACGUGUGGAGAAUCGUCAUUACAUGUGGGAUCACCUAACGAGAUUAAGGUCUGUUUCGCAAGAUCCUUGGCUUGUUUGUGGUGACUUUAAUGAAGUCCUUUGGCAGCAUGAGCAUCUUUCGAGAUCUACAAGGCCAGAAGGACAAAUGGCUCUUUUUAGAGAUUGUUUACAGCUUUGUGAACUAGAGGAUCUUGGUUUUUCUGGAAUGCCAUUUACAUAUGACAAUGGGCAAUAUGGAAAUAACAAUACCAAGGUGCGACUUGAUAGAGCAUGUGCUGAUGAGCGAUGGAGGGACUUGUUUCCAGCCAUUAAAGUGUUGCAUAUUACCGAAAAAGGCUUUCGCCCCGCUUUAUAA